AAAUCAGGUAGGACUACCCGCUGAACUUAAGCAUAUCAAUAAGCGGAGGAAAAGAAACUAACAAGGAUUCCCCUAGUAACUGCGAGUGAAGCGGGAAAAGCUCAAAUUUG
Molecule: ribosomal RNA, 110 nt
Filed under: Entoloma clypeatum
Lineage: Eukaryota; Fungi; Basidiomycota; Agaricomycetes; Agaricales; Entolomataceae
Description: partial 28S ribosomal RNA
Rfam family: Eukaryotic large subunit ribosomal RNA
Source: RNAcentral